AGUAACGCGUGAGGAACCUGCCUCAAAGAGGGGGACAACAGUUGGAAACGACUGCUAAUACCGCAUAAGCCCACGGCUCGGCAUCGAGCAGAGGGAAAAGGAGUGAUCCGCUUUGAGAUGGCCUCGCGUCCGAUUAGCUAGUUGGUGAGGUAACGGCCCACCAAGGCGACGAUCGGUAGCCGGACUGAGAGGUUGAACGGCCACAUUGAGACUGAGACACGGCCCAG
This 227-nucleotide ribosomal RNA is filed under the name uncultured bacterium. Its description in RNAcentral is "partial 16S ribosomal RNA". It matches the Rfam family "Bacterial small subunit ribosomal RNA", at positions 109 to 334 of the family's 1533-position model. The record is from RNAcentral.